GACGGAAGAUCGCUGAUGAGGAAAAGCAGAAAGAAAUAAUUUAACUGAGCUUGAAAUGAAACAAGAGCUAGCGAAUCUCUGCUGGACAGCAGCGUGUCACUGUAGGAGCUGCUCAGUGCUGCUAGGAUGACCUGCAUGUGGUGGGAGUUAUUACACUGGUAUAGUAUGACUAUGUCACCUGCAGCCUCCAGCAGUACCAGUUACCUGAGACCACACAUCUCAGCGACGUGUGCGUGCCCAUCCCAGCAGGGGAAAGAGGGAAGCCCCAGCUGUCCCAGCAGAACACACCAUAAAAGAUGAUUGAUGUCACCCCAGAGUCAUAGACGGUCUUCAGAAACUCCAAAACAAUUGAAUCUAGGCUUCUAGGUGUCCAUCAGGUGUGAUGUCAGAGCCACCAGCCUGCAGCUGUUGUUCAUUUACAUCUGCCUAAUUGAUCAUUUAUCCUCAGCACACUUUUCAGUUCCCUUGCUGAAAUUGGACAAUAUGUAAAGUCUAAAUUCAAACAAAGGUUGGGGAAACCUGCACUGAGCCGAGACAGAAGAAGUCUGAAGUCGAACUCGGAUGAGUGACAGAGCGUUCCUGCUACUGAAAACUCUACGUCCAGAUGAACAAAAUGAACUUUUCGGGGCAGGUCCCCAGAUGUUUUCUCUUCUCAGAAUCCUCUUCACAGAUCGUAUCUCUUUUAUCUGACAUACAGUCAUGUGGAAAAGAGUGUUUUCAUGGGAAUCUAUAGAGUACUCUGAAAAACUAAGCACUGUACAUGAGUGAGUAGCUUGCAGAGCCACCUUUUAGCAGCAGUAGCGUCACCAAAUUGUUUCUAUAUGACUCUUAGUCUCCAUUCGCCUGACGUUUCUUUACAUCAUUUUGUCAGUUCAUUGAGGUUUGUGGUAUUUGUUUAUGUAAAGCCC
This is a non-coding RNA of Maylandia zebra (zebra mbuna), 908 nucleotides long. The record is from RefSeq and is a predicted model, not a curated record. Lineage: Eukaryota; Metazoa; Chordata; Actinopteri; Cichliformes; Cichlidae.